AAAUAAGAAACAAUAAUGUAUCCAAUUUCGACCUGGAAUUUUGAUGAUAAAAUUCAUCCUUAUUUA
Molecule: transfer RNA, 66 nt
Filed under: Cantharidae sp. GENSP01
Lineage: Eukaryota; Metazoa; Arthropoda; Insecta; Coleoptera; Cantharidae
Description: tRNA-Arg
Source: RNAcentral